UUAAAACGUCGUGAGACAGUUUGGUCCCUAUCUUUCGUGGGCGUAGGAUAUUUGAGAGGAGCUGUUCCUAGUACGAGAGGACCGGAAUGGACGAACCAAUGGUGCUCCAGUUGUCGCGCCAGCGGCAUGGCUGGGUAGCUAAGUUCGGAAAGGAUAACCGCUGAAAGCAUCUAAGCGGGAAGCCCACCUCAAGAUUAUAUAUCCCUUAAGUAUGGAAACAUACUUAACUGAAGACCCCUUGAAGACUACAAGGUUGAUAGGCCAGGUGUGUAAGUGUGGCAACACAUUUAGCUUACUGGUACUAAUAGGUCGUGCGGCUUGGCCAUAAAACA
RNAcentral lists this ribosomal RNA (332 nucleotides) under Desulfobacteraceae bacterium 4572_187. Its description in RNAcentral is "bacterial LSU rRNA". It matches the Rfam family "Bacterial large subunit ribosomal RNA", at positions 2611 to 2925 of the family's 2925-position model. The record is from RNAcentral. Lineage: Bacteria; Pseudomonadati; Thermodesulfobacteriota; Desulfobacteria; Desulfobacterales; Desulfobacteraceae.